This 253-nucleotide ribosomal RNA is filed under the name uncultured bacterium. RNAcentral describes it as "partial 16S ribosomal RNA". It matches the Rfam family "Bacterial small subunit ribosomal RNA", at positions 524 to 776 of the family's 1533-position model. The record is from RNAcentral.
UACGGGGGGGGCAAGCGUUGUUCGGAAUUACUGGGCGUAAAGGGCUUGUAGGUGGCCAACUAAGUCAGACGUGAAAUCCCUCGGCUUAACCGGGGAACUGCGUCUGAUACUGGAUGGCUCGAGUGUGGGAGAGGGAUGCGGAAUUCCAGGUGUAGCGGUGAAAUGCGUAGAUAUUAGGAAGAACACCGGUGGCGAAGGCGGCCCACUGGCUCGACACUGACGCUGAGGUGCGAAAGCGUGGGGAGCAAACAGG